RNAcentral lists this ribosomal RNA (392 nucleotides) under uncultured bacterium. RNAcentral describes it as "bacterial SSU rRNA". It matches the Rfam family "Bacterial small subunit ribosomal RNA", at positions 527 to 922 of the family's 1533-position model. The record is from RNAcentral.
GGAGGAUCCGAGCGUUAUCCGGAUUUAUUGGGUUUAAAGGGAGCGUAGGCGGACUAUUAAGUCAGCUGUGAAAGUUUGCGGCUCAACCGUAAAAUUGCAGUUGAUACUGGUCGUCUUGAGUGCAGUAGAGGUAGGCGGAAUUCGUGGUGUAGCGGUGAAAUGCUUAGAUAUCACGAAGAACUCCGAUUGCGAAGGCAGCUUACUGGACUGUAACUGACGCUGAUGCUCGAAAGUGUGGGUAUCAAACAGGAUUAGAUACCCUGGUAGUCCACGCCGUAAACGAUGGAUGCUCGCUGUUUGCGUCUGACGUAAGCGGCCAAGCGAAAGCGUUAAGCAUCCCACCUGGGGAGUACGCCGGCAACGGUGAAACUCAAAGGAAUUGACGGCCGUCA